This 253-nucleotide ribosomal RNA is filed under the name uncultured bacterium. RNAcentral's name for it is "partial 16S ribosomal RNA". It matches the Rfam family "Bacterial small subunit ribosomal RNA", at positions 524 to 776 of the family's 1533-position model. The record is from RNAcentral.
UACGUAGGGUGCAAGCGUUGUCCGGAAUUAUUGGGCGUAAAGAGCUCGUAGGCGGUCUGUCGCGUCGGCUGUGAAAUCCCGGAGCUCAACUCCGGGUCUGCAGUCGAUACAGGCAAACUGGAGUACUGCAGGGGAGACUGGAAUUCCUGGUGUAGCGGUGAAAUGCGCAGAUAUCAGGAGGAACACCGGUGGCGAAGGCGGGUCUCUGGGCAGUAACUGACGCUGAGGAGCGAAAGCGUGGGGAGCGAACAGG